UAACUUACAUGUAAUCGAAUUUGCAAUGAUUGUUUUUUUUUUUUUUUUUUACACUCAAUCUUUACAGCAGUACUAAAACCCGUUUUAUUGCUUUAAUGAUAACUAUCUUAUUUUAUUCGUAACUCGAAAGGUGUUACCGCACAUCAUCCCCAAGCCUGAAUGAGUCCGGAUGACUUUUUUAAUCUGGCCUAUGAGCUUGGGAUUUUUUUGAUGCCGAAAUUGGUGAUGGCAGACUUCCCACCACAAUAUUUUCUUCAUAGAUAAAAUCAAAAUCACAAAUAUUUUUGACAAUUUUUGUACACAGAAUAUAUAGUCCAACGAUCUUUAAUUAUUUAGCUUUAUGUAAUGUUCACCUCAUUUAAAAGUUUGUCUAAAACACCAUUGCACUGUUAAAUUUGAUCCUUGGUCUACCUGUUCUCAAAGGGUUUGUCUGUCAGAUGUAUUUCAGCAUCCAUCUUCAGUGAGCCUAUGCAAUAGGUAAUUUAUUAAUAAUGAAUUUUAUAAACAUAGAAAGGUGGCAAAGUUUCAAAACGUCUGACAGACCAAACCAACGAGAAAAGGCAGACCAAGAUGAUUAGUAGGGUUCAAACCGUAGACCUGGCAAAAAAUGAAGACCUCAAUUUAACAUUCCACAUGUUAUUCUCUAUUUUUUCUAUCUCAUCGCACUAUCUUCAUAACGAAGCAUGUUCUUCCUUUUAUUUGCUCAUAAAAUUGUGUUGUAGAUUCGAUUAUUCAAUAUAGAUUUAUGGAUAGCUUCAUUAAGUUUUUAAACUAAACUAUCCUUGUAGGAAUGUUGAAUCAUGCCAAUAUUUCACUACUGAACAAGAUGAUUUAUAACUAUAGAAAGCAGGAGAAUCAUGUCAAAGAAAUGCUACAAGAAAAUAUUCAGUGGCAGAACCGUUUUCAAGACCGUCUAAGGAAGGAAGAGCUUUCGUCAAAGCAGAAAGUAGAAAUUCAUGAUACAUUGUUUAACCUGCAGAAGUUGUACAAACUGCUUCAGCAAGAGCAGGAAAUAUUUUACCGUCAGUCGAUGGAAUGCAGUUUUCAAAGUUACGAAAAAAAUAUUUCAUAUGACAGCCUCGAAAAACAGCAGCAUUACAACAAGCAAGUUCAAAACGUUAUUCAGCAACAGCUGCAUAUCUUGAGUGAACUGCUUAGCGCCACUUUUUCUCCAAGUAAGAGAAGAAAGUCAGCAUCGUGUGUAACAAGUGAAGUUGAUAUUUCACUGGAAAUACUCAACGACAGCGUUCUCCGAAACAUAGAACAACAACAGCAACAAAUGUUACUAUUAGAAGAAAACCAACCUGACACAAAAGAGUGGAAAAUGGCUGAAGCAAAUCUGAAAAAGCUUAAAACCCAGCAGAAAAUCCAUGUACAUCUCGAACAAAACCUGCAAAGGCAACAGUUUAUAAAAAGGCGUCUUAGGGAUCAAGUUUUGUCCCAAGAGGAAUACCAAAAAUAUGCAAAUGAUAUGCACACCCUUCGUACACAGAGGCAGCAAUUGUUUCAAUUUCACGAAUCGCUCCAAGAUGAAUUUAAUCAAUUCAAAACUGGAAGUUAUAUCAAAACAAAAAAUAUGGCUAGUGACCUCGUAUGCACUCUAGCACUGCAACAGACUCAAAACCUUUUUAAUUACAUUAGCCAACAGCAGAAUGUAAAUAACGUUCUUGAGCAAAAACAGACCCUGUAAAACAAUACUCUUAACUAAUAAUAAAUGUACUUUCUUGUUUUCUAUUUUAAACUUCAAUCAAGUCAGUGGUUUAAAUUACAAAUAGCACUGUACAGUGGUGCUAUGACAAUAUUCAUAUUAAGUACAAACAAUUGAAUUUAUUCUUUAAAGGCAAUGUUACAAAUCAUGCCGAAGCUUACAGAAAAAGUUUAAAAUGCUUAAAAAUAUUCUAGAAAAGAUUCAUUAUUAUUAAAUUAUUAGCUAUGGAUUAAUUUAUGGUGAUUAGACUAUCCUUGUUCAGCUUAUUGUGUUGGUUUUGUUUUCCAGACCUAUUUUCAUAUUUCAACUUUUCAGUUAUUUUUCUGUAGCCUUGAACGAUGAGAUGAUCGAGGAUGAUUAAGAAACUGUUUUACCUCAUAGACCUCAUCAAAUAUCACAAAUCAUCAUUUUAAUUAAUAGCACCAUUAGUGCAGGACUAUAGUAUAUUAGUCAAGGAAGAUAUGUAUGUAUUUGGCAAUGCAUUGUAUUAAUGAAUUAAUUUAAAUAGAAAGGGAAAAAAAGCCCAGAGGGGAUGGUUGGAAUGAAACUAAAGACCUACGAUGGUCUACGAGCCAAGAGUCUAUCACACUAACCACUCAGCUACCGCGCACCCACAUGAAAUAACUUCUGGUGGUGCAGUUACUAUUACUACUACUACUAACUUGCAAUUUUUAGGCUAUUACAAAAGAAUUUUGAAGAUUUGGACAGGAAUCAACUAUAAAAGAUGAAUAUUCAUGCUGAUUAGACUA
Molecule: unclassified non-coding RNA, 2457 nt
Filed under: Cimex lectularius (bed bug)
Lineage: Eukaryota; Metazoa; Arthropoda; Insecta; Hemiptera; Cimicidae
Description: uncharacterized LOC106673736, transcript variant X2
Source: RNAcentral